Molecule: ribosomal RNA, 460 nt
Filed under: uncultured bacterium
Lineage: Bacteria
Description: partial 16S ribosomal RNA
Rfam family: Bacterial small subunit ribosomal RNA
Source: RNAcentral
CCUACGGGAGGCAGCAGUGAGGAAUAUUGGUCAAUGGACGAGAGUCUGAACCAGCCAAGUAGCGUGAAGGAUGACUGCCCUAUGGGUUGUAAACUUCUUUUAUAUGGGAAUAAAAUGUUCCACGUGUGGGAUUUUGUAUGUACCAUAUGAAUAAGGAUCGGCUAACUCCGUGCCAGCAGCCGCGGUAAUACGGAGGAUCCGAGCGUUAUCCGGAUUUAUUGGGUUUAAGGGGAGCGUAGGUGGAUUGUUAAGUCAGUUGUGAAAGUUUGCGGCUCAACCGUAAAAUUGCAGUUGAAACUGGCAGUCUUGAGUACAGUAGAGGUGGGCGGAAUUCGAGGUGUAGCGGUGAAAUGCUUAGAUAUCACGAAGAACUCCGAUUGCGAAGGCAGUUCACUGGACUGCAACUGACACUGAGGCUCGAAAGUGUGGGUAUCAAACAGGAUUAGAUACCCUAGUAGUC